GAGCGGGCUUGUGUGGGAGCGAGCUUGCGGUCUUUGUGCGACUGCAAACGAUAGCUACAAAAAAGGCGACCCGAAGGUCGCCUCAUUGACUCACUCA
Molecule: transfer RNA, 97 nt
Filed under: Pseudomonas mucidolens
Lineage: Bacteria; Pseudomonadati; Pseudomonadota; Gammaproteobacteria; Pseudomonadales; Pseudomonadaceae
Description: tRNA-Thr(tgt)
Source: RNAcentral